Molecule: ribosomal RNA, 465 nt
Filed under: uncultured bacterium
Lineage: Bacteria
Description: partial 16S ribosomal RNA
Rfam family: Bacterial small subunit ribosomal RNA
Source: RNAcentral
GACGAACGCUGGCGGCGUGCUUAACACAUGCAAGUCGAACGGAAAGGCCCUGCUUGCAGGGUACUCGAGUGGCGAACGGGUGAGUAACACGUGGGUGAUCUGCCCUGCACUUCGGGAUAAGCCUGGGAAACUGGGUCUAAUACCGGAUAGGAGCCAUUUUUAGUGUGAUGGUUGGAAAGUUUUUUCGGUGUAGGAUGAGCUCGCGGCCUAUCAGCUUGUUGGUGGGGUAAUGGCCUACCAAGGCGGCGACGGGUAGCCGGCCUGAGAGGGUGGACGGCCACAUUGGGACUGAGAUACGGCCCAGACACCUACGGGAGGCAGCAGUGGGGAAUAUUGCACAAUGGGCGCAAGCCUGAUGCAGCGACGCCGCGUGGGGGAUGACGGCCUUCGGGUUGUAAACUCCUUUCGCUAGGGACGAAGCUUUUUGUGACGGUACCUAGAUAAGAAGCACCGGCUAACUACGUG